UCUCAGACACAAAGACACCUGGCUCUGGUUUGUUUGCAUCCUCUCUCUCCGUCUUGCCGCCAGACCGGAGAAUAAACACACCCACGCACAAACAGCAGCCCGAUCCUCUGCUUCUGAAUUUUCAUCCGUCUUUUCUUUUUUUUUUUUUUCCACGAUCGCCACACCCUGCUGGGCUUGUUUCGGGUUUUCGGGAUGUGUUAGUGAGCUUCAUGCCACAGGUAAUCUCCCACAUUUGACAGGAAGCGCUUCUUGAAGAUGAAGAAAAUCUGGUCCAAGAAAAGAUUUCAGAGAACUGGGCAUUCCACACGGACAUUUGGCAGAUUCACCCAUGGCAGACCCUCUGGAUUUAUCUAAUCACGCUCUGACUUCAUGGUCGUGAGGCGCGAUGGCGACAUGCAGCCUGUUUUUUUGCGGUUGUCGUCCUCCUCCUUCACGAGCCCUCUAACCCCGUAAAACACGUCCGCGCCGGCCGCCCGGCGGCUCGGCCGCUGCUGAUAUUUAGACUCUAAUGGGUACGAAGAGGAUCGGUCGUGUGGGUGAGAGAGAUGGUGGUUUCCAUAGUAACGGUGCUCUCCCGUCUGCCCUCUCUUGCUGCCACUACGGAAGCGAAGUUUUCCGCUCCUGCCGAAAGCAAA
Molecule: non-coding RNA, 635 nt
Organism: Paralichthys olivaceus (Japanese flounder)
Lineage: Eukaryota; Metazoa; Chordata; Actinopteri; Pleuronectiformes; Paralichthyidae
Source: RefSeq, a predicted model, not a curated record